RNAcentral lists this unclassified non-coding RNA (315 nucleotides) under plant metagenome. RNAcentral's name for it is "partial contains 5.8S ribosomal RNA, internal transcribed spacer 2, and large subunit ribosomal RNA". The stretch from base 1 to 105 matches the Rfam family "5.8S ribosomal RNA", at positions 50 to 154 of the family's 154-position model. The record is from RNAcentral.
AAAAUGCGAUAAGUAAUGUGAAUUGCAGAAUUCAGUGAAUCAUCGAAUCUUUGAACGCACAUUGCGCCCGCCAGUAUUCUGGCGGGCAUGCCUGUUCGAGCGUCAUUUCAACCCUCAAGCCCCCGGGUUUGGAGUUGGGGAUCGGGCUGCGGUUCUACCGCGUCCCGGCCCCGAAAUCUAGUGGCGGUCUCGCUGCAGCCUCCAUUGCGUAGUAGCUAACACCUCGCAACUGGAACGCGGCGCGGCCAAGCCGUUAAACCCCCAACUUCUGAAUGUUGACCUCGGAUCAGGUAGGAAUACCCGCUGAACUUAAGC